This 541-nucleotide unclassified non-coding RNA is filed under the name Hevea brasiliensis (rubber tree). Lineage: Eukaryota; Viridiplantae; Streptophyta; Magnoliopsida; Malpighiales; Euphorbiaceae. The record is from RNAcentral.
AUACUCAGUUCAUUAAUUAAAUUGACAUACUUGUGUGAAUUUUAAUCACUUAAUCAAGUAGCAAAAAUUUUUCACAAUUCAAUGAAAAGCACAAAGAUCAAAUGCUGCUUCUUUCUAAACCUAAAAUCUCAGGCAUCAGGAAUCAUUUAAGGAGACAUGGUGUAGUUUAUUGAGCAAAACAAGCCAAUCAGGGACAUAUUCUGAAAAGGUCAAUAUGAGUAAAAAGCAAUAAAGUCACAAAAAUAAACUUUCCACCAAAAAUCAAACUGCUGACAAUGCUUUCAAUUUCUUCCUCAAGAGAAUAAACCCAAUGCCAGAAUCAUAUGAGGAAACCCACAAAGCUCAAAGAAAGAACACAUGAAGCUCAAUGGUUGAUUUUUCAUCAUGGCCCAUGUAAAUCAUUGUUUGGCAGUGGCACAACAACAAAACCAAAAUAAAGGUGCCACUAAGUACUUCCAAAAGCAUAGUGAAGUGUUAUGUAAAAAGUGUUAUAAGUAACUUGUAUAUUAGAUAGUAGAGAGAGAGAAUUCUUAAAUUGUUG